This 253-nucleotide ribosomal RNA is filed under the name uncultured bacterium. RNAcentral describes it as "partial 16S ribosomal RNA". It matches the Rfam family "Bacterial small subunit ribosomal RNA", at positions 524 to 776 of the family's 1533-position model. The record is from RNAcentral.
UACGUAGGUGGCAAGCGUUAUCCGGAAUUAUUGGGCGUAAAGCGCGCGUAGGCGGUUUCUUGAGUCUGAUGUGAAAGCCCACGGCUCAACCGUGGAGGGUCAUUGGAAACUGGGAGACUUGAGUGCAGAAGAGGAAAGUGGAAUUCCAUGUGUAGCGGUGAAAUGCGCAGAUAUAUGGAGGAACACCAGUGGCGAAGGCGACUUUCUGGUCUGUAACUGACGCUGAUGUGCGAAAGCGUGGGGAGCAAACAGG